Molecule: ribosomal RNA, 1426 nt
Filed under: Lactiplantibacillus plantarum
Lineage: Bacteria; Bacillati; Bacillota; Bacilli; Lactobacillales; Lactobacillaceae
Description: bacterial SSU rRNA
Source: RNAcentral
UACAUGCAAGUCGAACGAACUCUGGUAUUGAUUGGUGCUUGCAUCAUGAUUUACAUUUGAGUGAGUGGCGAACUGGUGAGUAACACGUGGGAAACCUGCCCAGAAGCGGGGGAUAACACCUGGAAACAGAUGCUAAUACCGCAUAACAACUUGGACCGCAUGGUCCGAGUUUGAAAGAUGGCUUCGGCUAUCACUUUUGGAUGGUCCCGCGGCGUAUUAGCUAGAUGGUGRGGUAACGGCUCACCAUGGCAAUGAUACGUAGCCGACCUGAGAGGGUAAUCGGCCACAUUGGGACUGAGACACGGCCCAAACUCCUACGGGAGGCAGCAGUAGGGAAUCUUCCACAAUGGACGAAAGUCUGAUGGAGCAACGCCGCGUGAGUGAAGAAGGGUUUCGGCUCGUAAAACUCUGUUGUUAAAGAAGAACAUAUCUGAGAGUAACUGUUCAGGUAUUGACGGUAUUUAACCAGAAAGCCACGGCUAACUACGUGCCAGCAGCCGCGGUAAUACGUAGGUGGCAAGCGUUGUCCGGAUUUAUUGGGCGUAAAGCGAGCGCAGGCGGUUUUUUAAGUCUGAUGUGAAAGCCUUCGGCUCAACCGAAGAAGUGCAUCGGAAACUGGGAAACUUGAGUGCAGAAGAGGACAGUGGAACUCCAUGUGUAGCGGUGAAAUGCGUAGAUAUAUGGAAGAACACCAGUGGCGAAGGCGGCUGUCUGGUCUGUAACUGACGCUGAGGCUCGAAAGUAUGGGUAGCAAACAGGAUUAGAUACCCUGGUAGUCCAUACCGUAAACGAUGAAUGCUAAGUGUUGGAGGGUUUCCGCCCUUCAGUGCUGCAGCUAACGCAUUAAGCAUUCCGCCUGGGGAGUACGGCCGCAAGGCUGAAACUCAAAGGAAUUGACGGGGGCCCGCACAAGCGGUGGAGCAUGUGGUUUAAUUCGAAGCUACGCGAAGAACCUUACCAGGUCUUGACAUACUAUGCAAAUCUAAGAGAUUAGACGUUCCCUUCGGGGACAUGGAUACAGGUGGUGCAUGGUUGUCGUCAGCUCGUGUCGUGAGAUGUUGGGUUAAGUCCCGCAACGAGCGCAACCCUUAUUAUCAGUUGCCAGCAUUAAGUUGGGCACUCUGGUGAGACUGCCGGUGACAAACCGGAGGAAGGUGGGGAUGACGUCAAAUCAUCAUGCCCCUUAUGACCUGGGCUACACACGUGCUACAAUGGAUGGUACAACGAGUUGCGAACUCGCGAGAGUAAGCUAAUCUCUUAAAGCCAUUCUCAGUUCGGAUUGUAGGCUGCAACUCGCCUACAUGAAGUCGGAAUCGCUAGUAAUCGCGGAUCAGCAUGCCGCGGUGAAUACGUUCCCGGGCCUUGUACACACCGCCCGUCACACCAUGAGAGUUUGUAACACCCAAAGUCGGUGGGGUAACCUUUA